Molecule: long non-coding RNA, 550 nt
Filed under: Hordeum vulgare
Lineage: Eukaryota; Viridiplantae; Streptophyta; Magnoliopsida; Poales; Poaceae
Description: long non-coding RNA (HVUL_LNC020613)
Source: RNAcentral
AGAUAACAACAAAAAUACUGAAGUAGGGCAUUUCAUCAAAGUGGUGGUCAAGUAUGUCGCAAGGCACUUGGAUAAGUUAAACGGGGCAUUAUUCUCUGAAAUCUCGCUUGUUAUUAUAUAAGAUUAAAAAGAAAGCUAAUCCUAUUUCAUCAAAGGGGCGGCCAGCGACAGGAGCUAGAAAGCUAAGUAGAUUCCAAAACAGAAUCCUACGGUCACCAAGUCUUGUGUCGGUUUACAAUCACCAACUUGGGCGUGGGGAUUUGGCUCUCGGAAGAUAAGCAUGGAAGCAGCAGAUCGACAGGGGAGAAAGCAUCAGCGCGGAACUGCAACUUUGCCCCUAGCCAUGUUUGGGAUGGCUAACCUGCUGGUCCCCUGGAUUGAAGUGGUUGCUGCGGGAACCACCGGAGGUCCCCCGGAUUUCUCCCCUACUCUGACGAGUGCCAUUGGGAAUGGGGACGGUGUCGCCGCGGCGGCGCGACGAGCAGAUGGGACUUUUUUUUUGUUGUUGUUGUUUUUUUACAAAGAGAGAGGAGGAGGAAGGAAGCCGAUG